CCCUUAGAUGUCCGGGGCCGCACGCGCGCUACACUGAAUGAAUCAGCGAGUCUAUCCUGGGCCGAAAGGUCUGGGUAACCCGGUGAACCUCAUUCGUGAUUGGGAUAGGGACUUGCAAUUGUUUCCCUUGAACGAGGAAUUCCCAGUAAGCGCAAGUCAUCAACUUGUGUUGAUUACGUCCCUGCCCUUUGUACACACCGCCCGUCGCUACUACCGAUUGGGUGUGCUGGUGAAAUGUUCGGAUCGGCCGUUUGUCGCGGUUUCCGCGUCAUGUGGCUGAGAAGUUCAUUAAACCCUCCCACCUAGAGGAAGGAGAAGUCGUAACA
This 326-nucleotide ribosomal RNA is filed under the name uncultured eukaryote. Its description in RNAcentral is "partial 18S ribosomal RNA". It matches the Rfam family "Eukaryotic small subunit ribosomal RNA", at positions 1470 to 1796 of the family's 1831-position model. The record is from RNAcentral.